This 164-nucleotide ribosomal RNA is filed under the name Pisolithus albus. RNAcentral's name for it is "5.8S ribosomal RNA". It matches the Rfam family "5.8S ribosomal RNA". From Rfam's summary of the family: 5.8S ribosomal RNA (5.8S rRNA) is a component of the large subunit of the eukaryotic ribosome. It is transcribed by RNA polymerase I as part of the 45S precursor that also contains 18S and 28S rRNA. Lineage: Eukaryota; Fungi; Basidiomycota; Agaricomycetes; Boletales; Pisolithaceae. The record is from RNAcentral.
AUACAACUUUCAGCAACGGAUCUCUUGGCUCUCGCAUCGAUGAAGGACGCAGCGAAUCGCGAUAAUAAUGUGAAUUGCAGAUUUUCCGUGAAUCAUCGAAUCUUUGAACGCACCUUGCGCUCCUUGGUAUUCCGAGGAGCAUGCCUGUUUGAGUGUCAUCGAAA